This 235-nucleotide ribosomal RNA is filed under the name uncultured bacterium. RNAcentral's name for it is "partial 16S ribosomal RNA". It matches the Rfam family "Bacterial small subunit ribosomal RNA", at positions 99 to 334 of the family's 1533-position model. The record is from RNAcentral.
CAAACGGGUGCGGAACACGUACACAACCUUCCUUCAAAUGGGGAAUAGCCCAGGGAAACUUGGAUUAAUACCCCGUAACAUUAUGAAGUGGCAUCACUUUAUAAUUAUAGCUCCGGCGUUUGGAGAUGGGUGUGCGGCUGAUUAGGUAGUUGGCGGGGUAACGGCCCACCAAGCCUUCGAUCAGUAACUGGUGUGAGAGCACGACCAGUCACACGGGCACUGAGACACGGCCCAG